RNAcentral lists this long non-coding RNA (31557 nucleotides) under Citrus sinensis (sweet orange). Its description in RNAcentral is "long non-coding RNA (CSIN_LNC003123)". Lineage: Eukaryota; Viridiplantae; Streptophyta; Magnoliopsida; Sapindales; Rutaceae. The record is from RNAcentral.
AUGUUACAAGUCACAGGAUGCUUAGGUGUUAUGAACUGAAAGUGCGAAAAAAACACCUAAGUUUUUUAAAUAAAUAUUAAAACAACACUGACAAUAAUUAGCCAAACACGACUGGAUAAUCUGAACAACGAAAACUUGCAGCAAUAUGUACCAGAGGAAUCAAAAACCUAACUUUUACUUUCAACACAAAUCUUUUCCACGGUAUUUCACCGCAGCAGACCCCCAUAUAUCACAUAGUUAGGUCCUUGAUAAUGAAUUUCACAGGCAUUGCAGUCAACUCAAAUUGCUAGAAAACCCAUCAAGCUGGAAAAAUGCAGGAACAUAUAUAUGGACGAUCUACAGUGUCAUGUGUCAAACGAGUCCCCUAGCUAAGUCUAAAGGUCUUCGUAUUUCCAUAGUUCUAGUACCACUUACAAUCGAAUUAUCAUUAAUAUAUUUUUUUGAUUGACGUAAAUUGAUUUCUGUUUUAUCUUUGUAUUAAUUUACACUCAAAUAUUCAAGAUUAUUGAAUUACAUUUGACGCACACAAGUCUAAGAGGUCAAUUUCUCCUAUCAAAUUUUAUCUUUGCACUCGGUAACCCAAUUCCCCUCUGAGCUAAUGUUGAUGCUAAAAAUUGUAAACCCAAUAUAAUCUCAUUGUUUCUUCCCCAACUCACAGAACAAUAACCAUCAAACCAUAAACUAUGCUAAGAUAUAAAUAUAGAAACAAACUGAGGCAAGUUAGUCUGAACAACAGCAAAAUUUGCAAACUAAUUAGCAGCGAACGAGCCACCAUCUUAUCAUAAUACUCAAACAACCCCUAUAAUGUCAUUCGAUUUUCAAUGUCUGUUAUCGUUAAUUCCGGUAUAAUGAAGGCUACAACAAUAUAUAAUAUUACAAUGACUUAUUCUUUUAACUGGACAGCGGGAGGGUGAUGAAUCCCUAGCAAAGAUAUCUGAACACCAACGGGAACAUACCGGCACUGCAGGCACAAUAUCAUUCGAUGGAGAGAACAAUUCAUCCACCUCGAGUUUUUUCAGAUAACUCCCAUUUCCAUUGGUAUAUUUUUAGACGACAUUAUUUCGCUCAUUGGCUGAUAGAUCAAACUAUGCCCAUUCACAGUCGAUUCCGAUCAAUCUUCUGUUUCCUAAACGCAAUAUUAACUAUCGUUUAUGGCUCUACUGGCCCAACCGGCAAUAAUAGGGAACAAUCCAGCUUUGAGCCUUUGACCAAUUUAUCAACCGGCUACAACUGGUACACCAGGUCAACUUGAAACACGUGUCCUCUACACGUGUCAAUAUCUCGUCAACCUACUUGUCCAAUCUUUGAUGUUUGUUACAUUUUUUUGUAGGAGCCGGCUAAGUUACGUUAAACAUAACUUACGCCAGCCACAACAACAGUAGCGGGUCCUAUCACUGUGCAUUGUUGCUGUAUCUUGGGUAAGUUACGUUUAACGUAACUUAGCCAAAGCCUUUUUUGUAAGGUAACACUUGGCCAGAUCAAAUUCUCUAGAGUUAAUCCACAAAAAUCUCCUUUAUCAGAACUGGCAAAGAUAAAUAUCAAUCAUAUCAGAUGAUGUUUCCUGAAAGGCUCCAGUUAGAACAGAGAACAUGGAAGCUGGCUUUUUCAACCGACAAUUCUAUUUGUUAUACGGAUGGAGGAGCCAGAAAUCUACUCCACUAGUGCAACUUUAAAUAAUUAAUAAAUAUAGAAGUUAUACUUUUUUCAUUUUUUCAUCCAUAAUAUACAGUCAAGACAAUUAUAUUGCUGACUUGGGCUUUUUAAUUUUAAGGGGCUAAAGGACAGAUCACUUAAGUCAAGGAGGUGGAUCUCGAAGAGUUAUAGGGUCAAUACUUGAAGCAUAAAAUAAAAUAUGACCCUUUGUUUUUUUAUUAAUGCCAAAUUAAGUGGGAGCAGCUUGUCAAUUGCAAUAUACUAAUAUUGUUCAGAAUUUAAUCCAAUCUGUUCAAUUCGUACGAUUCACAAAUAUUCGAUUUGUAAAAAUUCAAUCGACACAUUAUUGGAUUUAAUUGAAUUGAAAAUUGUAAAUCCACAAUAGUGGAUUAGAAUGAAUUUAUAAAAGUAAAUCCAUAAAAAUUCGAAAAUACGCAAAGACAAAUAUUUAAUUAAUUUUAAAAAAUUAGAACUUGUAAAUUUGGUAUUAUUAAUAAAUAAAUAUGUUAAAAUUUAGUUACACUAACACCACAUUAUAUCUUAUCUAUUGAUAAUGAAAAAAUAAAAAAUAAUUAAAUAAACUAUUAUAGUUGCCUAAACUGUAUUAUUCGAAUAAAUUUUUUUAUGUUAUUUAAUCAAUUAUGUCUAUCUUUUUUCAAGUUUUUUUUAAUAAAAAAAUUGGACAUGGAAACUUUUAUAGAUUAUCCAAACUUUUAAGUUUCAACUUUUCUAUUGAUUUUAUUCCAUGAUUUUAAUUAAUUGUAUAUAUUGAUAUAAACAAAUCAGAUUUUUUUCUUUUUGGUGUGUCAGAAUUUAAAACUUUGAAUGUAUUAUUUUAGUACUAUUUAAAAUAUUAAUUUAUUUAGAUCUUAUUUAAUUUUAAAUUUAAUUAGUAGUCAAAUUAAUUUUAUAUUAUUUUUAUUUAAUUAUUUAGUGGAUUGGAUAUAAUGAAAAUAAUCCAAAAUGAAUCUACAAAAUAGUAGAUUGGAUAUAAAUUGCAUCAAAUCUGCAUUCAAUCCAUGAACAUAUUCGAUUGGAUGUGGAUUGAAUUUCAUAGAUAUAUAGAUUGAAUGGAAUUAAAUAUUUGUAACCCAAAAAAUCUUAGAUUGGAUAUGAAUUGGUGUCUAAUUUGCAAACACCCUUACUCUAUAUGGACUUUGGUCCCUAAUUUGUUAUGACUUUUUUCUAAUAUUAUUGUUGGACCUUAAUUACUUUUCAGGUUAAGCUUUUAGAAUUUUUUUUGCUAGCAAAAGAAGAUAUAACCUCGAUAUUAUUAUUGAUGGUGUGAUGUUGAUUAACCUUUCUCAUGUUGAACGAUAUAAUUUGUAUAAAGUAAUGCUCGAUAAAUUGCUAAUUUUAAUUAAAUAAUAAUUUUUUACUGUUUGAACUUGGGACCAACAUACUAAAUUAAUAAUUUAUAAGAUAUUAAAUUAUAAAAAUUAAAAAAAUUGAUAGGACCCACUAACUAUAUAAAUUAAUAUUUAGCUAAUCCCAAAUUUAAUCCGGAGCCGGCUACUCUGCAUCAGUGAUUCCAAAUCCCCCAAUUUUGUCUUUACCAAACUGACCGUUUGAUAUUAUCUAAUGGAUGGUGAUUGAACACAUAGAUAAGUAAGAGUAACCUAAUAAACAAGUUCAGAGCCGGUCACCAAAAAUUCUACAAUUGUAUGGUACACAAUUACAAGUAACUGGUUGAAAACAAUUAAUACAUUCUUAAAUGCAAGAUCUCGUUAGAUGCAUGACAACGUUACAUGCCAAUUUCCGUUGGAAUAAAAUUCACAUAUAAUGCGAUAAAGAUAAAAUAAGUUCAUGAAUAAAAUAGCCAGUUCCUUAACCAUUUACGUUCAGAGUUGAAAAGAACUCCAUUUUUUGGAGAAAAAAUAGAAAUUGGGGAAAGCAUAUGCAAUAGGGUUAAUAUCAUCAGCAUUGGAAGCAGCCUCUGCUUGUGCUUGUUCCCACUCCCGUCGGUGGCAGCAGCCUCUGCUUCUGAUUGUUCCCACUCCUGUCGGCUGUUUUGCUGAUAGCCCUACGAACUUCUCCCCUUUCUAUUUUGGUACUUCUUCUCAAUAUGGGCAAUCUCAACCGUCCUAUUUGCCUUAAUGAUCUGCCGGCGGUUGGCGAUAAGUCUGAUUUUGCUCCUGCCCCUACCAAGGACUAGGAUUGACCAUACCAGAACGACCUUUGUCGGCUUCCACCUAGAACCCUUUGACCAAGUUGCCAAGAUUUUAAGGGAGAGCAGCGCAUCUCGUAAUGCCUAAAAGGUUUCCACUUUGAGUUUUUAUUUUUUCGAAUUAGAAAUCCUUGCACAUGGGGUUUUGCUCUAUUUUGGUGAUUCACACACACAUAAAUAUUCUUGUGGGCUUUUCAAUUUAUGAAGAAGCAAGAAGAGACAAAACAAGCACAACUAGCUGUAAAUGCUGCUGAAUAUAAAGCCAUGCAGGCCGAAGCCGAAAAUGUAAGAUGCUACCUUCUUAGCUGCAUUCCUUAUUCGUGUUUGAGGUUUUUAAAGAAUAUUCCUUGUUGCUGUGGCCUUAGAGGAAUAUAAUCUUUUAGUUGCAUGAACUUAUUUGGUCGUUUAUUAAAACUGACGGUAAUCUUUCAUUUUAACUGGAUGUUAAUAUUUCAGUUUGGAGAAAGAAGUAAUUUGCAAAGUUUUCAUUUUUGUUUUUGGGUUGGCUUAAUAAUUUUUGUUACAGACAUGUUUAUGAAUAUGACUAGCACUUGUUACAGCCUAAAAAUGAAUAUCACAAAGCGAGAAACCAAGAGGUCGAAAAAUGCAAGAAGAGUUAUCAGAAGGCAAGAGCAAGCUCGAUGAGUUACAGUUACCAAAGACAGAUUAAAGCACAAAAGCGAAUAUAGAGGGGAAAGGCUCAGAUAUUGUCGGCACCGUUAUGUUGACUUUCUUAGUUCUUUUUUGUCUUUUUUUUUUAAUUACAUCGUCAUAUUCUCAUUUUCUUUACGGGAUUUUAUUUGCUUUGUUACUCAAUCCUGAUAAUUGUUGUCAAGUAAUUUCUGGCAUAAUAAUAAAUUUUCAGUUCGCUAUUGUUAGUCUGCUCUCUUUCUUGAUCCUUUUUACUCUUUUACAUUUUUUUAUCUCAUUUCUUUCUCUAAACUUAUAGUAUAAUGAAGAACCAUCUAUAAACAAUGAAAAAGCCUCUUGUGAAUGACCACUCGAAUAUUGGAGAUAAUGGUGUAGUGUUGCAAAUGAUUAUCCAAAUAUUAGAGGAAACACUCUCUAAAAUAACCCGCUUUGAGGUCACUGCAGCAGCAUAUAGGGCAAAAGAAAUUUGAUCAUUCAAGUACAUUUACAAGAAUAAUUACAUCAAUAGUAAUUUAGCGCAUCAAAUCCUUAUUUUUUCCAUAUAGUAAAGAUAGAUAUAAUCAAAGUGCGCACAUCAUUCAUAACCUGAAAGCAGAAGAUAGCUCAAUAAUAUCACAACCUAGCAAAGAAACAAUCAUAAAUAAUGUUAUAGCGCAGCAAUAUCACAACCUAGCAACUGUCCAAAAGAUAUGAUUAGUUUAUUCGCCCAAGCACCAUCGUGAUUCAUGAGCGAUGUAGGAUAAGAACAAGUUUAACAUGGACUAAUGACUAGUUUGCUAUAAGCACCAAACCCAUGCACAACAUUCGUGGCAAUACAGAAACUGUUAUUAUGAUAUCAAAACAUACAAAAUAAGAUUUAGCUUAAUGAGAUUGUCCAGUCCCAUUUCACAAACUACUUCCCUUUACUCAUUUGUCAGUUGUCCCACAGUGGCUGCAAACCUAUAGUGUCCACACCGGAUUAGAAAUUUGGCCUCCUCAUCAGCAACUUUCUCAACUCUGUGUGACUGACUUAUAUUUUUUCUUUUUUCACCUGGAGGUAAGUUCUUAAAUUCCAAUCCUAGUUCUUUUUCGAACCUACAGGAAUUCAACAGAUAUUAAUACCUAUCAUUCCUAACAUAUAGUAUUUCAACUAAAUCAAUUAAAACAUCACUUCCAGCUUACUAACAUCUCUUGUACCGCAUGCCCUUUCAUCCUUUGCCUUUAUCCAAUGUAUCCAACGAACAACUUCCUCACUGAGCAUUCAAAGAUUUCAACAAAAACCUCUCAUUUAGCAAAAAAUAGGUUCAAUCUUGUAUGUGCAAAAAAAUAAUUGAUCGAUGACGUUUUUUCGAGUUAUUUCACAAACUUACAAGAAGCUGACAAAUCCAUAGUUAUUUUGCAUGGCUCUAUUUCCUUCACCAUUGACAGCAAUCAUUGUUUCAGUACAGCUAUCAGAAUUGAAUGCCUUCUGCUUACGAACUGUCCCCAAUUUCAUUCCUGCAUUACAAUGCUCUAAAAUGAAUUAUAAAUACCACUUAAACUGCUAGUUGUAGUCAAGUUUGUAAUCAUAUUAUCACAUAAGAAGGUUAUGACAACUUUUAUUAUGACUUCAAAACAUACACAAGAUUACAUACCAUAUUAAUUUCCCUGAAAUGACAAAAGGGAAAAACAGCCCACACAACAACAAUUGCCAUUAUUUAACCACAAAAAUACACCGAAUUUUGUUUGACAGUGUCGAACCUCUAAGAAAUCGAUCACAACUCGGUUUGAAGCCUAUGGAGUUAUUGCAGGAAGACAAAACAGUAUCAGUGACACGUACAAUCGAGAUAAAACUAGUCAUAUACGAAGAUACUUAUUUAAUGGUUAAGCUUUUGGGAUCUUGUGAAAUCAAUUUUGAAAGCCUCUAUAGAGAAAUAAUCAAAGUGAAUAAAUUUAAAUUUAUAAUACGCUGACUACAAAAAGAAACCCGACUUACAUCUACAUUAGACAAGCAAAUACCCCUAUACUGUGUGUAUCCUGUUCUAUAAUUUCAUCCCAUUGUAACAUUUCAGAGCCCCAAUAUACCCCCUAUAAAAUUACACAAAUUAAUUACUCACAAGCACGCUAACUAACACUCUCAAGUUUGCAAUUCUUAUGAAAAACAUACCUCAAUCUUCACUUACGCAUUCAAUGACCAUCAUUUGAAUCUCCACCGACGAUUUGAUCUUUAUCAAAUCCCCUUCAAUAUAGCCCGUGUACGAGUUCUCUUCUCAGUUCAUUGAUGGACGACAAGAUUUCCAACUUCUCCUCUAUUACCCCAGCGUCUGGAUUUAAAACGCCUAGUUAACGACUUACCACUAGAAACCCCUUAAUGACACCGACGAUUUUUCUAACUGCUUAACCCUAGUUAUUUUAUUUUGAAAACGCUGGUAAUGCCGAUAACCAGUUAACAUCUUUAUUACCAUACGUUAGUUCAGAGCCGUUGGAUUUUUCUCUUUGCAAUCUAACGGCCAUUUAAGUAAAAGACAAAAAACGGUGAUUCCAAAUCACGUAUGCACUGUAGCUGGACCCAUUUAAUCCACACGAUAUCUCUAUGUGGCUUCUUAAAAAAUGUUCCUAGUAUUUUUUACUUCACCUUGAAAUUGAUUUCAACUUCAAUCUCAUCUCUAAUUUUUUGUAAUGUGAAAAGAAAUUUUGGUUGACAUUAUCUUUUGGAAUAAAAAAAUUAUUUGAUGUCAUUAUCACUUUGGGUGCUUCUUUUUGCGAGAUACAUUUCGUGGUAGAACCAUCAUUUUUAACUUAAAAAACUAAAAUUUCUAUGAAGAUGUUACUACUUAUUAUGAAUUAUUGUUGAUUCCAACAAGUAAAUGGAUUCACCAUUUUGAAAGUGGAUUCACUAUUUUGAGUUUUAUAGACAUAUUAUCACCCACUCCACUCAGGUGUCAACUAUAUAUAUAGAUGUAGUUUUUUAAACAAAAUGUAGAACUUGAAAAUGAGCUUACCUUCCUUUGUCUAUUGAUCUUCUUUGAAAAACUCUACAAUAUUGUAAUAUUAUAAAUAAAGCUUUGUUACAAAUUUUCUUAUCCAAUUCUAAAGGAUUUGCUUCCAAAUUUACAACAUACUACUCUUUUAAAUUUAUAACACUACUAUAUAUUUUAGGCAGUCAUCAAGGAGUUUUAUUUGACUAGCUAUUCAAUUUGAAUCUUGAGACGAAUUUAGGGUUUGCACCUCGUACUAGGGCAACUUUUAAGUAUAGGCGAAUAAAAUAGGCACCUAGGGCCCCAUAUUUAGGGAAGACCCGUUUUUUAAGUAUGUCCCUAAUAAUGUUCUAAUUAAUAAAUAAUUUUUUGGGUAUUGUCGGAAAGCCUAUUUUAGACGUCUGUCUAACUAAUAAUUAUCUUCAAUUAAGUUUUUUUGAUAGAAAAUCAUAUAUAACUAAUAAUAUUGUCUAACCAUUAAUUCAUUCAUAAUCAGUCUUUCUAAAAAGAUUAAAUUCCUAAAAAAACCUAUUUAUUUAAGUUAGAAUUAAUCUUUGACUUUUAGUUUUUCUUUUAAUUUCUAGGGAAAAGAACAAACACCCCCCCAAUGUUUAGGCAAAAGGAAAAAAACCCCCCUAAUAUUUUAAAAAAGACAUUUACACCCUAAUUUAUUAUAAUUUUACCAUUAUACCCUUCUAGCAUAUAAAAAAAUAUUAAAUUAUCCAAUUUGUCUAUCUAUUGUUAAUAAAAUUAUAAAUAGACAAAUUGGAUAUUAUAAAGAAAAUUAUAAAUAUACCCUCGUUACCCAAUUCCUCUAUUUAAAUUUUUAUCAAUAACCAAUGUUAAAAAAAGACAUCUAUACACCUAAACAAAUUGUAAAUAAAUUAUAAUUUUAAAAAUAAAAUUAGUUAUUAAUAACCAAUUUUAUUUAAACUUUAAACUUGUAUAUUUAAUAAUUCUCCACAUGUCAAUCAUCUAAACUUGUACAUUUAUAACCAAUUUUCUAUGUUAUUUAUUAUGGUAUUAAUAACCAAUUUUAUUUUUAAAAUUAUAAUUUAUUUACAAUUUUUUUUAAGUGUUUAGAUGUCUUCUUUGAAAAUUGGUUAUUAAUAAAAAUUUAAAUAGAGGAAUGAGGCAAUGAGGGUAUAUUUAUAAUUUCAUUAACAAUAUAUAGACAAAUUGGAUAAUCUAAUAAUUUUUUUUUAUAUGCUAGAAGGGUAUAAUGGUAAAAUUAUAAUAAAUUAGGGUGUAAAUGUCUUUUUUAAAAUAUAGUAUAAAUAUUUUUUUUGAAACAUUAAGGGGGUUUUUGUCUCUUUGCCUAAACGUUGGGGGUGUGUUUGUCCUUUUCCCUAAUUUCUAUUAAAAUCUUAUAAUCUCAAAAUUCAAUAAACAAAAAAUUUUCUUACCCUAUUCACUACAAAGAAAAUUAUUAUAUUCAUUAGCUCCCUUGAAAAACAAAAAGUAAAUUUUUAAAAAUACGAAGUCUAUAGCCAUUAUCCAAUCAUCUAUUCAUCAUCUCAACUUUUAAAGUGAUACCAUUGUAAAUAAUAUGCUUGAAACUUGUAUUAUUUUUAUUUAUUUAUUUUUAUAAUGCUCAUUCACUUUGAGCUAUUUUAUGUAUUUUUGACUAAUAUUAAAAUUGCUGAAUGAAUUUAGGCGCCAUAAUAAAAAUUCACCAGGGAUCCAAAUGUUCUAAAUUCACCAUAAUAAAAAUUGCUGAAUGAAUUUCGGCACCAUAAUAAAAAUUCAGCAAGUAUCCAAAUGUUCUACAGUAAACUUUGUGUCUGUGUGUUUGUGUAUAUAGUUAUUGUCUAAUGCGAAUAAUUUUUUUUCGCUAAUCACUAUUAUUCUAGAUACGCCGUGGUACGAGAUCAUUUGGACUACAUGAGCCAACCAAAUUCUAGUGAAGUAUAAAAAAAUAAAGAUUGCAAUACAAAGUGAGGAUAUUUUCACUAGAAAAUAUACAUAUACAUACAUUCAUGCUUCAAAGAGUACAAGCAGAGAUGUAACUGGCUCGUGCACAUCCACCAAUGAAUGAACAAUAUGAAGUCAUCAGGAAUCUGUACGUGUGUAGGACUUUCUUGGUCAUCUCAAUUGUAUUCGAAAGUCUUGUUUUCUUGUGCCUUUUUUUAAAAUUGAAAAAAGAGCAAACCAUCCAAUACGAGCAAACUACUUCUUCGAAGAGGGGGACCUGUUGAUUAUUUUGCAGAGCACCUUUUUUUUUAUAAAAAAAAAAACCAUCCAAUCCGAGCAGACUUCUUCUUGGAGGAGGGGCACAUGAUUAUUUUGCAGAGUAAUAUUUUGCAUUUCAAAUAUGCUGUUGAAAAUCUUCUAUAAAUUGGGAAGACAUAAAACCAAAGAAGCUGAAGAUUCAAGAUUUCUGUAGCAGGAUUGCGAGGGAGAAGGAUGGUGAGUGGGUGACCCACAAGGGUAAAACGCUACAAGCAGAGAAGGAAUCAUAAAGGAAAGUGGCCGGCCAGGCGGUGUCUUAAACUUUCUUUGGUAACAGGUAACACAUCCGACCCCUUACUUUUGUGUUAGAAGUUAGGAAAGGGCAAGAAAAAUACGCAUGUUAAGGAUGAUGAAACAAGUUGUUUUGAAACAAGUUGAUUAAUUUUUUGUUUUGAAACAAGUUGAUUAAUUUGUUUUGAAACAAGUUGAUCAAUUUUUUUUGUUAAAAGGUUUAGCCCAUUUGAUUUGGUGCUUUAUAAUAUUUUUUAUUGAUAAAAGUUGGUCAAUUUUUAGUUGUUAUGAUGGUGUCAAGCUCAAUCAAAUUAACAUGAAUAUAAUAAUAAUGAUUAUUACUAUCUUUGGGAAAAGGUUUUUCGACAAACAUUUGUUGGGUAUUGUUCUGCAGCAAUAUUUUCAGUAUUAAUAAGUCAUGCUCUUUUUUUCUCUUAUUCAUUGGUCUCACUCUUUAGACUUUGCUGUUUUGUAUUAAACAAGAUUUUAAAUUUAUGGACUUUUUUUUCAUUAGUUAUGUAUUAAUAAUUUAAUUGUUAAACUUUGAAAUGUUUAAUUUGUUGUAAGGAUUUUAGUAUUGUGCUUUUUAAAAAUUUCAGUUAAUUAAUUUAUUUUUGUUCAGACCAUAAAAAUGAGAUUUUUCAAAAGUCCAACCCAACUCGAUUGCGGGUUGGGUUGGGUUGAAAAAUGUAAUGGGUCGGGGCGAAUGGGUCGGGUCGGGUUGAAAAAAUUCAACCCGACCCGUGCCAGCCCUAAACUACAUCAUCAAAAUCUCUCUAAAUUGGUCGAAUUUAGUCGGUAGUUAAGGACCUAAAUGAUAAAAAUGCAAUCAUUGAGAACUUAAGUUAGGCAAUUUUGAAAAGGACCCUAAAAAAUAGAUGGAUAAUGAUAUUUCAACAUCACAAGUUUUGUUAACCCACUUCACUUAAGAAAUAAUUACAAUAAGUUCACAUUAUUUUUUAAAAACUUAAAUAAAGAAAAAGUUUAAAAAUUUAAUUCAAUACCUAAACUACCAGAUACAAAAGCUCGUAUUUUUGGGAUAAUUUGGUUAUUUUACAUUAUAAGGUUAAAAUAGUUAAAAAAAACUUAUCGUAAAGUGGUUGUAAUAAUCAAAGAUCAUAUUUUAAAAAAAAUUAUAAAUCCUUAAUUGUCUUAAUUUUUUGUUAAUUUGUAUAUUUGAAAAUAAUGUAAACUUGUUAUAAUUAUUUAAUUUUAAAAACUGAGAUGGAUUUAAAAAAAUAAUAAUGAGAUGAAAAUAUCCACACCCAAAAUAUAAUAACAAUUCGUCAAUUUUCAUUUUUCUCUUUUGUUUUCUAAUUUUUGUUAUUUUUUUGGUUCUUUUAUUUUGUUAUGCUUAUUUAGAGUAUUUUGCUUUCGUUGCCAUGUUUUGUUGUCGUUCUUUUGUGUGUUUAUUGUAGUAUUGUUUUCCCAAAAAUAAUGAUGGUUUAAUAAAGUUACUAAGGUGGCGUUUGUUUUUUAACUUAAUGACUUAAAGUGACUUAACUUAAAUAAUUAAGUUAAUUAGAGGUGUUUGUUUUUAUAACUUAAUGAGACUUUUUAGAUAAUUUUGACUUAAUAAAAUAAGUUAAUUUUUUUGGCUUUUUACUUAAUGCAGAAAUAUGAAUUAAGUCAAUUACUUGCUAAUGUCAAAAAUAUCUAUGUUUUAUAAUUUAUUUUUCAUAUCUAUCCCAAAACUCACCCAUAGAUAUUUACCCCACAUAAAAAUAUCCCUGUUUUUUUUCUUAUAUUAUAUACGAUAAAAUUUGAAAUUUAUGGUAUUUUAUAUAUUAAAAUUUUAAAAUAAUUAUGUAUUUACUUGAAUAUGAUUUUACUUAUAAAUGUUAAAAUAUUGUGGUAUUUAAUAUAUUAUUUAUUUGACAUUCAAAUUUAAUAAGGAUACAAAUAUAAAAAUACAUAUUUUUAGCUUUUUAAAUUGAAAAAAACAAACAACUUAAUACUUAUUUUCUGAGAUUCAGACGAAAAAACAAACAUAUGAUUCAGAUUCAGACAUUCAGACCUAUUCAGAAUUCAGACUAAUUCAGGUCUAUUCAGAUUUUAGACAAAAAAAUAAACGUCACCUAAGUGUACAUUUAAGUUUUUAAGUUAUGAUUUGGUGAUAGGUUUGUGUUGUAUUUACAGGACACUAUGUCAAGUUUGUUUUUUUCCUUUCUUGAUUCAAAUGUGGUCCUCACUUAAAAUAACUUAGGUGGAUAAACUAUAGCAUACUGAAAAAAUUCUUCAAAUUUCUUAUCAUAUCUUAGUAUGCGCCAUGCGGAGCCAUUCCUUUUUUAUUUUUCGUUGGGUCAUAGUAAUUGUAGUUGCUUUGUUAAGUUGUUAGCCAUUGAACUAAUCAAGAUUGGGAGUCUUUGGGUUCUUCUAAACGAAAAAAAAAAGGUGUUGUAUUUAAUUUAACCCAUAUGACUUACUUGCCAUACUUGGGCCUUGUUUCGUGUGUGUGUGUGUAUAUAUUGAUAGAUAGAAUAACUUUGCUCCUUUUUAAUGCAAUUUAUUAUUAAUCUUCUACAUUUUACAAAUAUAUAUAUCACUCAUCACUCGUUCACGGAGCAUCAAACACGAUCCACUACUUCUGUACACUCUCGCUAUUUCCACCUUAACGCCGUUGGGAAACAUCACUAUCACUAUGCGCAGAAAUUAAGUCGAGCCACAGAGGUAGAAUGACGUGCAAUAACGACGUGUUAAUACUUUUUGUUAACAGAACACUAUAUAUAUAUAUAUAUAUAUAUCCCUUUCAUUUCUGCUAGGGAAAAGGACACAGAGACCCUUAAUAUUUGAAUAAGGGACAUAAAAUCCCUUAAUGUUUCAAAAAAGACACUCAGACCCCAAUUGACUAACGGAAACCGUUUGUUUUAACAGAAAUUAUAAUUUUAAAGUGCAAUUACCAUUAUACCCUUAUAGCAUAUUAAAAACUAAUUGUUCAUUGUCCAAUUUAUCCCACAAACACAACCAGCAACCAAACACGAGCACAAGCAGCAGCCAAACCCGAGCACAAGCAGCGGCCAAACACGAGCACAACCAGCAGCCAAACGCAAGCACAACCAGCCGCCAAAAGCGAGCACAACUAGCAACUAAACGCGAGCACAAGCAGCAGCCAAACGCGAACACAAGCAGCAGCCAAACGCGACCAAUUCCAGCAGCCAAACGCGAGCAGUUCCAACAGCCAAACGCGAGAUUUCAGCAGUUCCAACAACACAAGCAACAACCAAACGUCGAUCGACAGCAGAUCCGGCAACUAGACUCGGUCUCGAUCCACGCACGAGCAGUUCCAGCAGCUUCCGGUAACGCGAGCAGCAACUUCCGGCAGCCCCAGCAGCAUUCGGCGAGGCAAACCGUGAGUGUGUUAAAAGAUUUGUCUGAAAUCAGUAUCAGUGCGUGUGUACGUGGGGUUUGUUUGUGCGUGUGAUGCGUGUGUGGGUUUUUAGUCAAUUCACUUGUUUUUAAUUUGUAAUUACGAUUUUAACCUUUUAAUGAUUUAACGGAACGAUUUCCGUUAGUUAAUUGGGGUCUGAGUGUCUUUUUUGAAACAUUAGGGAGUUUUAUGUCCCUUAUUCAAACGUUAGGGGUGUCUGUGUCCUUUACCCUUUCUGCUAUCCUGGUGUUACUUGUCUAAAUUUCAUUUUCAAAUAGUAUUACUACCCACUGACUGUUCGCGGACCAAAUUGAUACAGAUAUAGCUCUUAACCUCUGUUUCUCGUGUGUGCGAAUCAGAAAUGGACAGUCUCACAGGCAUUGGAUUCCGGCCAUUGGAUGAAGAAAUCAUUGAUCUCCUGAAGAAGAAGAGGCUUGACCGUGGUUUCUCUGUUGAAACGAUCAAGGAAAUUGAUUUUUAUAGCUUUGACCCCUGGGACCUAGCCGGUAAGUAUCACGCCCAACAAGCACUAUACGAUGUAAUUGGAGUUAGUCCAGUAGCUAAUAUCUUGGGUUAAUUUCAGUAGCUAAUAUCUUGGGUUAAUGAAUUUUUGUCAUGCAGGGCUUUCUGAGUUUCAGUCUAUGCAAGAUGUGUGCUACUUUUUCUCUAAGCCUAAGUACAGGGGUGCCAAGCGGAAACGGUCAGGACAACAACAACAUAGAAAAACCAAGUCAGGAACCUGGAAAAAGACUGGCAGUGAUUCUGAGAUGAAGCGGAAAAACAGUACUGAGGUGAUUGGUAACAAAGACUAUCUUGUUUUUAUCCACAACGAUGCUACUUCCGAGAAAGUUAACACAAAGUGGCUUAUGCACGAGAUAGCUAUUGCGGAUGACCCUCUCUAUAAGGUGCGAGCUUUGUUUAGAAUAAAUUGGACAUGUUUUGCAAAUACUAGAAAGCUGCUGUACCGUACAUCCGCCUUGGCCGUACAGCAGCUAUUGAUAAUGAAAAAAUAAAAAAUAAUUAAAUAAACUAUUAUAGUUGCCUAAACUGUAUUAUUCGAAUAAAUUUUUUUAUGUUAUUUAAUCAAUUAUGUCUAUCUUUUUUCAAGUUUUUUUUAAUAAAAAAAUUGGACAUGGAAACUUUUAUAGAUUAUCCAAACUUUUAAGUUUCAACUUUUCUAUUGAUUUUAUUCCAUGAUUUUAAUUAAUUGUAUAUAUUGAUAUAAACAAAUCAGAUUUUUUUCUUUUUGGUGUGUCAGAAUUUAAAACUUUGAAUGUAUUAUUUUAGUACUAUUUAAAAUAUUAAUUUAUUUAGAUCUUAUUUAAUUUUAAAUUUAAUUAGUAGUCAAAUUAAUUUUAUAUUAUUUUUAUUUAAUUAUUUAGUGGAUUGGAUAUAAUGAAAAUAAUCCAAAAUGAAUCUACAAAAUAGUAGAUUGGAUAUAAAUUGCAUCAAAUCUGCAUUCAAUCCAUGAACAUAUUCGAUUGGAUGUGGAUUGAAUUUCAUAGAUAUAUAGAUUGAAUGGAAUUAAAUAUUUGUAACCCAAAAAAUCUUAGAUUGGAUAUGAAUUGGUGUCUAAUUUGCAAACACCCUUACUCUAUAUGGACUUUGGUCCCUAAUUUGUUAUGACUUUUUUCUAAUAUUAUUGUUGGACCUUAAUUACUUUUCAGGUUAAGCUUUUAGAAUUUUUUUUGCUAGCAAAAGAAGAUAUAACCUCGAUAUUAUUAUUGAUGGUGUGAUGUUGAUUAACCUUUCUCAUGUUGAACGAUAUAAUUUGUAUAAAGUAAUGCUCGAUAAAUUGCUAAUUUUAAUUAAAUAAUAAUUUUUUACUGUUUGAACUUGGGACCAACAUACUAAAUUAAUAAUUUAUAAGAUAUUAAAUUAUAAAAAUUAAAAAAAUUGAUAGGACCCACUAACUAUAUAAAUUAAUAUUUAGCUAAUCCCAAAUUUAAUCCGGAGCCGGCUACUCUGCAUCAGUGAUUCCAAAUCCCCCAAUUUUGUCUUUACCAAACUGACCGUUUGAUAUUAUCUAAUGGAUGGUGAUUGAACACAUAGAUAAGUAAGAGUAACCUAAUAAACAAGUUCAGAGCCGGUCACCAAAAAUUCUACAAUUGUAUGGUACACAAUUACAAGUAACUGGUUGAAAACAAUUAAUACAUUCUUAAAUGCAAGAUCUCGUUAGAUGCAUGACAACGUUACAUGCCAAUUUCCGUUGGAAUAAAAUUCACAUAUAAUGCGAUAAAGAUAAAAUAAGUUCAUGAAUAAAAUAGCCAGUUCCUUAACCAUUUACGUUCAGAGUUGAAAAGAACUCCAUUUUUUGGAGAAAAAAUAGAAAUUGGGGAAAGCAUAUGCAAUAGGGUUAAUAUCAUCAGCAUUGGAAGCAGCCUCUGCUUGUGCUUGUUCCCACUCCCGUCGGUGGCAGCAGCCUCUGCUUCUGAUUGUUCCCACUCCUGUCGGCUGUUUUGCUGAUAGCCCUACGAACUUCUCCCCUUUCUAUUUUGGUACUUCUUCUCAAUAUGGGCAAUCUCAACCGUCCUAUUUGCCUUAAUGAUCUGCCGGCGGUUGGCGAUAAGUCUGAUUUUGCUCCUGCCCCUACCAAGGACUAGGAUUGACCAUACCAGAACGACCUUUGUCGGCUUCCACCUAGAACCCUUUGACCAAGUUGCCAAGAUUUUAAGGGAGAGCAGCGCAUCUCGUAAUGCCUAAAAGGUUUCCACUUUGAGUUUUUAUUUUUUCGAAUUAGAAAUCCUUGCACAUGGGGUUUUGCUCUAUUUUGGUGAUUCACACACACAUAAAUAUUCUUGUGGGCUUUUCAAUUUAAUACAUAUUUUUAGCUUUUUAAAUUGAAAAAAACAAACAACUUAAUACUUAUUUUCUGAGAUUCAGACGAAAAAACAAACAUAUGAUUCAGAUUCAGACAUUCAGACCUAUUCAGAAUUCAGACUAAUUCAGGUCUAUUCAGAUUUUAGACAAAAAAAUAAACGUCACCUAAGUGUACAUUUAAGUUUUUAAGUUAUGAUUUGGUGAUAGGUUUGUGUUGUAUUUACAGGACACUAUGUCAAGUUUGUUUUUUUCCUUUCUUGAUUCAAAUGUGGUCCUCACUUAAAAUAACUUAGGUGGAUAAACUAUAGCAUACUGAAAAAAUUCUUCAAAUUUCUUAUCAUAUCUUAGUAUGCGCCAUGCGGAGCCAUUCCUUUUUUAUUUUUCGUUGGGUCAUAGUAAUUGUAGUUGCUUUGUUAAGUUGUUAGCCAUUGAACUAAUCAAGAUUGGGAGUCUUUGGGUUCUUCUAAACGAAAAAAAAAAGGUGUUGUAUUUAAUUUAACCCAUAUGACUUACUUGCCAUACUUGGGCCUUGUUUCGUGUGUGUGUGUGUAUAUAUUGAUAGAUAGAAUAACUUUGCUCCUUUUUAAUGCAAUUUAUUAUUAAUCUUCUACAUUUUACAAAUAUAUAUAUCACUCAUCACUCGUUCACGGAGCAUCAAACACGAUCCACUACUUCUGUACACUCUCGCUAUUUCCACCUUAACGCCGUUGGGAAACAUCACUAUCACUAUGCGCAGAAAUUAAGUCGAGCCACAGAGGUAGAAUGACGUGCAAUAACGACGUGUUAAUACUUUUUGUUAACAGAACACUAUAUAUAUAUAUAUAUAUAUAUCCCUUUCAUUUCUGCUAGGGAAAAGGACACAGAGACCCUUAAUAUUUGAAUAAGGGACAUAAAAUCCCUUAAUGUUUCAAAAAAGACACUCAGACCCCAAUUGACUAACGGAAACCGUUUGUUUUAACAGAAAUUAUAAUUUUAAAGUGCAAUUACCAUUAUACCCUUAUAGCAUAUUAAAAACUAAUUGUUCAUUGUCCAAUUUAUCCCACAAACACAACCAGCAACCAAACACGAGCACAAGCAGCAGCCAAACCCGAGCACAAGCAGCGGCCAAACACGAGCACAACCAGCAGCCAAACGCAAGCACAACCAGCCGCCAAAAGCGAGCACAACUAGCAACUAAACGCGAGCACAAGCAGCAGCCAAACGCGAACACAAGCAGCAGCCAAACGCGACCAAUUCCAGCAGCCAAACGCGAGCAGUUCCAACAGCCAAACGCGAGAUUUCAGCAGUUCCAACAACACAAGCAACAACCAAACGUCGAUCGACAGCAGAUCCGGCAACUAGACUCGGUCUCGAUCCACGCACGAGCAGUUCCAGCAGCUUCCGGUAACGCGAGCAGCAACUUCCGGCAGCCCCAGCAGCAUUCGGCGAGGCAAACCGUGAGUGUGUUAAAAGAUUUGUCUGAAAUCAGUAUCAGUGCGUGUGUACGUGGGGUUUGUUUGUGCGUGUGAUGCGUGUGUGGGUUUUUAGUCAAUUCACUUGUUUUUAAUUUGUAAUUACGAUUUUAACCUUUUAAUGAUUUAACGGAACGAUUUCCGUUAGUCAAUUGGGGUCUGAGUGUCCUGCUAUCCUGGUGUUACUUGUCUAAAUUUCAUUUUCAAAUAGUAUUACUACCCACUGACUGUUCGCGGACCAAAUUGAUACAGAUAUAGCUCUUAACCUCUGUUUCUCGUGUGUGCGAAUCAGAAAUGGACAGUCUCACAGGCAUUGGAUUCCGGCCAUUGGAUGAAGAAAUCAUUGAUCUCCUGAAGAAGAAGAGGCUUGACCGUGGUUUCUCUGUUGAAACGAUCAAGGAAAUUGAUUUUUAUAGCUUUGACCCCUGGGACCUAGCCGGUAAGUAUCACGCCCAACAAGCACUAUACGAUGUAAUUGGAGUUAGUCCAGUAGCUAAUAUCUUGGGUUAAUUUCAGUAGCUAAUAUCUUGGGUUAAUGAAUUUUUGUCAUGCAGGGCUUUCUGAGUUUCAGUCUAUGCAAGAUGUGUGCUACUUUUUCUCUAAGCCUAAGUACAGGGGUGCCAAGCGGAAACGGUCAGGACAACAACAACAUAGAAAAACCAAGUCAGGAACCUGGAAAAAGACUGGCAGUGAUUCUGAGAUGAAGCGGAAAAACAGUACUGAGGUGAUUGGUAACAAAGACUAUCUUGUUUUUAUCCACAACGAUGCUACUUCCGAGAAAGUUAACACAAAGUGGCUUAUGCACGAGAUAGCUAUUGCGGAUGACCCUCUCUAUAAGGUGCGAGCUUUGUUUAGAAUAAAUUGGACAUGUUUUGCAAAUACUAGAAAGUUCCAAUUUAGGAUCCUAUUGAGCUAUGUGGUUUAAUAGUUUAGUGAAAACAUAAUUCAGAACACAAUAGUCAAUAAUGUGAACUUAUUCUAUUCUCGCUUUUUAUUUGUGUAGGAAAACUUUGUCGUGUGUCGCCUAGAAAGAAAAACUUGUGAUAAAAAGCUUGGUGUUUCAACUACUGAUAAACAUCAAUCAAGUCAAGAUUUUGCUUCUAGUUCUAGCAUCAAUGUUGUGGAAGAUAUGUCUCUAGAAUCUGCUCAACCACCAGAUCGACAUUUGGUUUCUAAAACAACUCAAAUUGUAGAAAAUAUAAAUUUGAAGAAUCAUCUACAACCAAGUGAGAAUUUGUUUUCUUGUAAUGAAGACUCAGCAGCUACCACUAGUUUGGAUUCGGGAUUAUCACCGAGUGACUGUUUGAUUCAUUAUUCUGGAAAUCAUGUUGCAGAAAAUACUUCUACAGGAUUGCAGCUAGUACCACAUGACGUUUUGGAGUCACUGAGACUACCAGAUGAGCAAUGGGCUCUGGAACAAGAAUCGUCAUAUUCUAAUGGUCCUAGUUUUGGUGGUGAUUUAUUGAAUUCUCAAUUUGACAGUGGGCAGGCAAUUGCUUUCUCUGAGUCGCAGCAACUACCAAACCACUUGAUCUCUUGUUCUAGAAAUCAUGUUGCAGAAAAUACUUCUACAGGAUUGCAGCUAGUACCACAUGACGUUUUGGAGUCACUGAGACUACCAGAUGAGCAAUGGGCUCUGGAACAAGAAUCGUCAUAUUCUAAUGGUCCUAGUUUUGGUGGUGAUUUAUUGAAUUCUCAAUUUGACAGUGGGCAGGCAAUUGCUUUCUCUGAGUCGCAGCAACUACCAAACCACUUGACCUCUUGUUCUAGAAAUCAUGUUGCAGAAAAUACUUCUACAGGAUUGCAGCUAGUACCACAUCCCGUUUUGGAGUCACUGAGAGAGAGCAAAGACAAUUAAAGGACUCUCUACGAGAAUGUGUAGAUCUAGAAGGUCAACCACACUACUCCAUAAAGGAAUUAAGCAUUAUGAAUUCAAGUAUACUUCCGAAUAAUUUUGUUAUUGAUUCUUGGUGAUACAACAUAAAUGUUCCUGAAUUACAAGUGAUAGUUUUCACCAAAGGCUUUCUUAUCCCAACAAGAUCAUCCCAAAAUCAAUUUUAUUCUUCGGACAGCUCCAAUGUGGGACAGUUAUGCUUCCAUUUGUGCCUCAAAAACACGAAAGCUCAUUUUAUUUAUCCCCAUAUUAUUGUAUUUUGUCUAUUUGCAUUUUGUAAAACUGUUUGGAAGUUGUUGUGAGUACCAUAUGAGACAUUUAAACUGAUUGGACAACUGAACUUGCAAGUUGCAACACUGUUGAAUCUCCUGCAUAAGAUGUAUUAUUGUGGUAACUUCGAUCUGUGAAUGAGAUUGGUGGCUAAUAAGGAUUGUAGGAUGCUAUGAACAAAGAAAUGCAUAAGUAUAUUUGAAGAUGCUAAUUGAAGAUAUAACAAAGACAAUCUUAAAUAGAAGUGUUUUUAAUUUUUGUUCUCGUGGGAGACUGCAUUAUGAAACCACUUUAGUACGUAUGCUAGGUCCCAAUCGUAUUAUGAAACCACUUCAGCAAGUAAACUUUAACGUGUCCGUUCACGUGUACCAUGGAUCCUCUGAAAUCCGGAUGAAAUCAAGAUAUAUCCAUGUGGAUCCUUGUCUAAUAAUAAUAAAAAGUCCAUGAAAUUACUAGGAAAUUAAUGGAGACAAAAGUGCAUACAAUGUCGGGGUAAACCUUAGCUUUGGUACCAUGUUAAAAAACUGCUUGACUCAAAAGCUGAAGCUAAGUAAGCGGCCAAUAUUGGUAUUAAAAAUCUAACAACGGUAUUGGCGUAUUGCUCUAAAACUGGUUCACAAUUGGUGUCCAAUUCUGGAAAUGGCACUGGUGUUAGAAACACAGUUCGAAACAUGGGUUUAUGAAAAUGUAGGCUUCCUAUUUUCUUUUUGUCUUUUCCGUCUCUUUUAUUUAUUUAUUUAUUUUUAUUUUUUUUUGAAUGAGCAGGAUAUAGCUUUUUGAGAUAGCUGCUGUUUGGACCAUAUGUUUUAUUUAUUUUUUGGGGGGAAUUUUAAAUUUUGCGUUCGUAUUUAAAAGACGCCCUAUGUGGCAAAAUUUGAGUAAUUUUCUUGUACUUCUGAGAUUAUUAUGGCAGGUUGUUUAACAAAUCAUAAAUCUUUGUUCUUUUCCUUUUUAUAUAAUAUUGAUUUACGACCUCUACUUUAGAAUUGAAUGACAAAAGUUAUUAUGUUUGGUGAACUAGGAAAUUUAUAAUUGCUUUUUUGUGGUAAAAGCUUCUUGUCCUUUUAAAUUGCUCGCAUUAUCUGUUCCACUGUCAAUUGCUCGAGCAUUCUGCAUCCCCCAAGUUUAGCUUCUUGAUGGCCCCUUAUGCCUUAGUGUCAAAAAUUAUAUAUUUAUUAAGGGGUAAAAAUAUUAUUUUAUGCUAUUAUUGUAACUUAUAUUUGUAAUUGUGUAAUAUAUUGUGAAUUUCUUAUUAUUUUUCUAAGUAUUUGAUUUUGUGUAUUUUUGUGUGUUUAUUAGGUAAAAAUAAUAAUUUCAUGCAAUUUGUGGCUCCAAAUAAAUGUAUAGAUGUCAAAUUUAGAUUCUAAAAGUCCGAGAAAUUAUGUCAUUAUCGAGGAGGAUCCGAGACUUUUGUUGUAAAUUUUAAGUUUUUACCACGAUAAAUAUAGUAAUUGUAAAAUUAUAAGUUUUUAUCAUAUUAGGUAUGGUAAUUGUUAGUGGAAUGUGUUAGAUGUGCUUUAGUGGAUUAAGUUUGCUUUGUGCUUUAUUAGUGGGACUAAUGUAAGAUUAAAAUGUAAUUAAAUUUAUUUAUUUGUGUGGUGCGGAUUUACCAUAUAUUAGUAUAAAUAGAGGUGGGGGAGGAACACAACUUCUCUUCUCUUCUUUCUUUCCCCCCAAAUUUUUCUUCUCAUCUCUCUUUAUAAUAUAUUUUAAUAAAUAAAAUUAGUUUUAUUUCAAUUUUCAAAUUCCAUAUCUUUUAAUUAUGUGUUUUUCAAUUUUAAUAAUUUCCUUUUUUUCAAAUAUGUUUAGUUAAAUAUUAGCAGUUAAGAGAAGAUGAAACUGAUGGUGUCGAGAUCCCUGAGGAAGAAAGUGAUAACGAGGAGAGUACUUCGACCCAAGCCGACCAACUAAGAAAAAGAACCCCGGUCAUAGAAUGAAAGUUGAUUCCUACCUCCAUUGACUUCCUCAAAUGUACCACUACCCAAACUGACCUAUUUAAACUGAGAAACCUGUACCAAAUCCCCAAUCAUGUUCUCCUCGUCAUCCCUAGGAAAGGUGAUGGUCUCAGUCGACCCCCUAGAGGUUACGUAACUUUGCAUUUAGAGAGCUUCAAACUAGGAGCUAAAUUGCCUCUUCAGCCCUAUUUUACCAAGGUACUAAGUGGCAUGCAUCUGGCUCCCAACCAGUUACAAUCGAACGGGUGGAGGGUCCUCUCAGGCCUGUUUGUAUUAUGGGAUAGAUGCCAGCUCGGGGAGCCUACCACCGAGGAGAUAAAAAGUUUGUAUCAGCUGAGAAGCAGUCCAAAGGAAGUGGGCUGAUAUUACUUCAUGUCGAGUUUCGUGAAGAGGAAACCCAUUACCAACUUUCCUUCUUCAUGUAAAAAUUAGAAAAACAAGUUCUUCUUCGCUGGGGGAAAUUGGUGCCCAGCGAUUCAGUCGCUUAGUGGUGACAUUCACCUCCCCACACAUUUUGUCACCCCAGGUCGUUUAUUUUUCUUUAUGCUUUACUUCUCUGGUUGUGGCUUAUCCUUUUCCUUAACCUUGUCUAUAUUUUCAGACUCGUGGGGCCUGGUCAGCAGACUUGACGACGACCCAUUGCUCAAAGUUGAAACUGCUCUGGUCAACGCCUCCACCUGCCAGGACCUCUUGUCGCCAACAAGUCUCGUCGAGUCCCGCUUGGUUAACAUUGCUGCCGGGAUGGAUAACAAGAUCCUUAGCGCCAUGUCUAGGAAAUGUGCUCAGGUGACGGGGUAAUCCAGCAGCGCACCCUCUCCCAAGAAGUAUAUCAAUGUCGUCGGUCCUUCUAAAUCCCCUGCUCCUGCUCUGCCCCCUCUUUCGACCCGAAAGAAUGGCGGAGAGAGGCCUCACGAAAAGAGUCCUAAGGGCAGCGCUGCGUCCAAGGAUCGGACUUCGUAUCAGAGGAACCGGGGCGAUCAUUUGGCCUUAUAUCAGAGGGACUACACCAAAUCAGUGGGGCCCAAAUUGGUUAAAGAUGUUGAGAGCAUGGAUCUUGGCGAGCUGGGACGCUCCCUCUAAAGGGUUGCACCGACAGGUUAUGGACCUGGAGGAGAAGGUUGCUCUUGCUAUGUCUAAGUGUUCUCAGCUUGAGAGUGAGCUGGCUAACCUGAAGUAUGAUCUCGAGGCUGCUCAAAGUGAGCGAGAUACUCAGAAGACGGCAUACGAAGAACAGAUCAAGUCCUUGGACACGCAAAUAGUUGAGUUAAAGGGUAAAUCUACUAAUGUGAACGAUCGACUGGAUGCAGAGUACGAUUCUGGGCUCAUUUUUUGCUAUAAAUGUAUCAUGUUCGUGCUUAAGAAAUAUUCCGAGCUGAAAAUGAAUAAACUGGAAGCGCGCGUUCAGGAGUACAUGGCUGAGCAAGGCCAGAGGGACAAGAACCAGGAAGAGGUCCUACUGGGUGGAGAGCAGGAAAAGGAGACAGGGGACCAAACUUUGGGCACAGGUCAGGAGUCAGCACCUACUUCUUGAAAAGUUGUUGGUCUCUCUUUGCCUGAGAUUGCAGAUCUCCCCUUCCGUUGAAGCUAUUGCCUCCUAUUAAUGACCCAUAAACUUUGAUCUUCAUGUAAAUCAUAAACUUUCUCCUUGUAAAUGUUAGAGUUUUUAUAGACUUUUGAUACUUUCUAAUUGUUUCUUUGCUAGACUUUUCCUUAUGGAUUGCCUUAGAAAAUUCCUGCGAGUUUUGCCUACUCGUGUUAUAACAAUAAAGAGAUUUUCAAUUUUAUUUGCCGGUCCUCAGACGGCUGAGUGGGUUUUGGUGAGUUUUUGCCUUGAAAGUAAUUUGUAAAUUGUGUCUGCUCGUCCUUAAGAGACUGAGCAGGAGUGGGCAACUUUUUGCCUUAACGAAUUUUAUAGAUUUUGUCUACUCAUCCUCAAGCGACUGAGCAGGAAUAGGCACAUAUUUCCCUUAACGAAAUUUGUUAAUUUUGUCUGCUCGUCCUCAAGCGACUAAGCAGGAAUAGGGAUAUCUUUGCCUUAACGAAAUUUGUUGAUUUUGCCUGCUCAUCCUUAAGGGAUUGAGCAGGAAUAAACAUAUCUUUGCCUUAUGCUCGUCCUUAAGGGACUGAGAAGGAAUAGACACAUCUUUGCCUUAACAAAAUUUGUUGAUUUUGCCCACUCGUCCUUAAGGGACUGAGCAGGAAUAAGCACAUCUUUGCCUUAACAAAAUUUGUUGAUUUUGACUGCUCGUCCUCAAGCGACUGAGCAGGAAUAGGCAGAUCUUUGCCUUAACAAAAUUUAUUGAUUUUGUAUGCUCAUCCUUUAGCGACUGAGCAGGAAUAAGCACAUCUUUGCCUUAACAAAAUUUGUUGAUUUUGUCUGCACGUCCUUAAGUGACUGAGUAGGAAUAGACACAUUUUGCCUUAACGAAAUUUGUUGAUUUUGUUUGCUCGUCUUUAAGUGACUGAGUAGGAAUAGACACAUCUUUGCCUUAACGAAAUUUGUUGAUUUUGUUUGCUCGUCCUUAAGUGACUGAGCAGGAAUGGGCACAUCUUUGCCUUAAAAAUCAUUUUGAUAGGAUGUCUGUAAAUGGAAUUCAUAGUUGUUGAAUAUUUAAAGGGUUACAGUAAAAUAAAACAUAUGCACAUGCAACAACUUCUCAUUACAACUAGCGGGGAUAACUUAAUGAAAGGAUUUCACAAAGUACUUUGCUUACUGGAAAUAUUUCUUCAAGUGUUCGACGUUUUAUGAUCUAUUCACCUCCCGUCCAUCUAGGUAGGCCAGUUUAUAAGAUCCCGGGCUAGUUGCUCGUAUUACCCUAUACGAGCCUUCAUAGUUCAGGCCAAGAACACCCUGGUUAAGAUCUCGCGUGUUCUGGUUUACUUUUUUGAGAACCCAAUCCCCGACUCAGAAUUACCUUAUGCGCACAUUUCGGUUGUAGUAGUGUAUGAUCCUCUGCUGACACUGAGCUACCUUCUGCAAGGCUUUUUCUCUCUUAUCCUCCAUCAAAUUUAGGUUUAUACACAUUUGCUCGUCAUUCUGCUCCUCACUGAAAUAUUCUAUUCGAUGUGUUCUUACUCCGAUUUCUGCUGGGACCACAGCCUCAUGACCAAAGGCUAAGGCGAAUGGGGUUUCUCCAGUUGCGGUUUUAUGUGUUGUCCGGUAGGCCCAUAAUACCCCUGGCAAUUUAUUGGCCCAGGCUCCCUUCUUCUCUCCUAACCUAGUUUUCAGGGGCUUCUUUAUGACUUUGUUGGCUGCUUCUACCUGUCCAUUUGCUUGGGGGUGUGCCAGAGAGCAAAACUUCAAUUCAACACCCAAAUUUUGACAAAACUCCUUAAAAUUAUGGUUGUGAAAUUGUCUUCCAUUAUCGGUUAUGAUUGUAUAAGGGAUCCCGUAUCUACAAAUGAUGUUCUUCCAAACGAAACCGGUUGUCUUCUUCUCUGUGAUCUGGCUUAAAACCUCAACUUCUACCCAUUUUGUGAAGUAGUCUAUAACCACAAUUGCAUGUGUUACGGCUCCUCAUCCUCUAGGCAAGGGCCCAAUUAGGUCAAUCCCUCAUUGUGCAAAAGGCCAAGGAGAUGACAUAGCGGUCAGCUUUUUUGGAGACUGAAUACGGACAUUUGAGAAACUUUGGCAGACUUUGCAAUUUCUGGCCAUUUCCUUUGCAUCUUAGUGCAUGGUCGGCCAAAAAUAUCCCUAUCGCAGUGCCUUGAAUGCUAAAGUCCUUACUCCCGAAUGAUUGCCACAUAUUCCUUUAUGUAUUUUCUGCAACGCAUAGUUUGCUUCCUCGUCAUCUAAGCAUCUCAGGAGUGUUAAGGUGAACCCACGGUGGUAAAGUAUCCCAUCAAGCAAUGUAUAUGUGGCUGCCCAAUAUUUCAACUUUCUCGCUUACUUUCUAUCCACUAGUAAGAUGCCAUCACGAAUAUAUGAGAGAAUUGGAUCUAUCCAGGAUCUUCCAUCGUCCACCCCCAUUACUUCUGCUUCUACCCCAAUGCUUGACGAAGUUCUCACUUCCAGUGGGACUGACUUGGGCAACUUCAGAUAUGCAGUUGCAUCCAUUCUAGCCAGCAUAUCUGCUUGAUAGUUUUAUGUCCUUGCUAUCUGCUUUAUUUCAACCUCUCAUAAUAGCACAAUUAUUUACUUUGCCUUCUUCAAAUAAAGCUCCAUCUUCUCUCCUCUUGCCUGAAAAUGCUCAUUAAACUUAUUACAGACAAGCUGGGAAUAUGCUCGGAUCUCGACCCUUUCUGCUCAUAAUGCAUGCGCUAGCCUAAGCCCAGUAAUGAAGGCUUCGUACUCCGCCUGAUUAUUCGUGAGCUGAAACUCAAACUUUACUGCGUAGGACACCUCGGCCCCCUCUGGACUACGUAUCACCACCCUUGCUCCAAAUCAUUGGUCAUUGCGUAACCCAUCAAUCAUUAUUAACCAUACCCCUUCUGGCCUUUCUUUUUCAGCUGGUUGCUCCUCGUGAACCCUUUCAUCAGCUCUGUACAGUCCACCACAAAGUCGACCAGGGUUUGUGCUUUAAUGGCUCCUCGGGGUCGGUAGGUUAUGUCAAACUCGCUCAGCUCCACUGACCAUUUAACUAAGCGACCAGAUGCAUCCAGUUUCAAGAGUAUUUGUCGAAUAGGUUGAUCAAUCAAUAUAAUUAUCGGGUGCGCUUGGAAGUAUGGUCUGAGCUUACGCGCCGCUGUUACUAAGGCGAACGCCCAUUUCUCCAUCGCGGGAUACCUAGUCUCCGCGUCCACCAAGGCUUUGUUGGUGUAGUACAUUGGAUGUUGCUUUCCUUCAUCUUCUCUAACCAACACCAAACCGGUAGCCCACUUGGAGACAGCCAAAUAUAAGUACAACUCAUCGCCCUCCCUUGGAGUUGAAAACAAUGGGGCACGGGCGAGAUACUCCUUCAGCUACCCAAAUGCCUCCUCGCAUUCUGUUGUCCACUCCAUUUUUCUUCAUUUCCUCAUAAUUUAGAAGAAAUUGUGACAUUUAUCUGUGGCCUUUGAAAUGAAUCGGUUCAAUGCUGCCAACUUCCCCGUGAGGCUUUGCACCUCCUUGACUGUUCGAGGAGACUUCAUCUCCACUACUGCCCGUAUUUUCUAUGGGUUGGCAUCUAUUCCUCAGUGGCUCUCUAGGAAUACCAAGAACUUACCCGAGCUAACCCCAAAUGCGCAUUUCUCGGGAUUUAGUUUCAUUUUGCACUUCCUCAGUAGCUCAAAGGUUUCUUCCAAAUGCCACACAUGAUCUGCUGAGUUCUUGGACUUUGUAAUCAUGUCAUCCACGUACACCUCUAUUGUGCGUCCGAUCAGCGGUUUAAAAAUUUUGUUUACCAAUCUUUGGUAAGUGGCUCCUGCAUUCUUUAAACUGAAUGACAUCACCCCUGUAACAAAACAAACACAUGUUAGUGAUGAAUGUAGUGCUCUCCUCAUCAUGUUUGUCCAUGGGUAUCUGGUUGUAUCCAAAAAAGGCAUCUAUAAAACUGAGCAGGCUGUGGCCAACCGUUGAGUCAAACAGUUGGACUGCUCGGCUGUCGUGAAAAUCAUCUCGGGCAUUGGGGGUGGCUGGUUUGGUUGACCAACCCUAGGGUUAACUCCAUUAAAUGUCCUUGGAAUGUUGUGAUAAGGAUGGGCAACCAUCUGCCAUAAUUCUUGUUGCCGUUCCGGGAAUGGGGAGCGCUGAUGCUGAGCUCGGCCAUGCUGGAACUGUUGCGGUCUUUGAACCAUUUGAUAAGGACGAGACCGAGCCAAUGCUCCCCCACUAGCUGAUGAUUCCCCAAUUCGCUUUUGUGACCCACUCCCAUUCGGUACUUUCUUCUCCUUUCACCUCAGCUCCUCCAACUGUUCACUAUUUAUUCUCACCGUUUUCUCCUCCUCGAUUUCUAUAUCCCUCUUCGUAUGCUCAUACCCCGUUGAAUAACUCUAAAUAACAGGGUUUCUCAAGUUGUACCACAAUCGACCUAUCAUCACCCCUUCUUUUAACCCUUUUAAUGCUUGAGGAUGAUUAAAAACCCCCAAGUCAAGUACUGCCGGAUGAUAUCUCUUCACAAAAUCUCAAAGAGAUUCGUGCUCCUCUUGUUUCAUUCUCAUUAAUUCUAUCAUAUCGUCCUCUAGGGCUAUCACUCCGCGGAAUUGCUCGGUCAACUCUUGGCACAUUUGCUCGUAGCCUCUUAUACUUCCACGCGGCAACUUACGGUACAAUUCUCGAGCUCGUCCCUCUAAUGUCAAUGGGAAUACCCUACACCUCUGUGCUAGUGCUAACCCCUGCACACCUAUCAUAUCAUUGAAAUGUUCAAUAUGCAUCAGUAGGCCACUUCUCCCAGAAUACUUGAGGUCGGGAAAACGGAAAUCCCUCAGGAUCAUAGUACCCAUGAUCUCUGCUAACAGUGGAGAUUUAUCAUCUAACAUUAUCCUCCAACUAGGGGGCUUUCGUUUGCCCUGCAUCUCAUCUAUCACAUGUGCCAAUCGUCACACCUCUCCAUCCAAUUCCAAAGCUCGACCAGCAUCACGUGCAGUAACCUAGUCGCGCUCCUGUUCAAUGUCAUGCAGCCGCUGUCUGAGCUCGCUUUCCUUAGCGUUUGCUCUUCGGCUAUCAGUUCCCAGAACCCGGCCAGAGCGAGAUUGGUCUCUCCCUUCAUUCACAUACUAUGGGGAUGUACCCAUAGGCCUGUCCCCCCAACGGAGGAACCUCCUCAUUUCUAUGCCUUCGAUGGCUGGGUUCCGCAGUGGCCUCAUCUCUCGUCACGAUGGUCUCAUAAUCCCUUCUCCGCUCAUCCAUCAGCUUAUGCAAUAUAGUGGUAAGGAUCUCCAUCUGCUUCUCCAUUCGCUCUUGCAUCACUCUCUCCCUAACCUCAUUUGCUAUCUCUCAGAGGGUGAUUGUCUCACUGGUGUCAUUGUCGCCCCCUAGGGCGCCACUCCUUGUCACAUCCAUAACUAUUCGUUCGCUGCUCCUCUGAUGAUUACUAUCUUUGUGAUAGCUUUUUAUUCAGAUCCCCACAGACAGUGCCAAAAUAUUGAUGCUGAAAUCUGGUCGUCAUCUGCCUAACCAGAUUGGCUCACCAACGGUUGUAUUGACAAUGAUGAAAACACUGCACUCCACAAGCUUCUACAAUUACACAAACUUCUGAGACUCAAAUCACCCUUCUUCCUCCUUCCUAACCUAUGCUCACAAAAUUAAAUCAGAGGCGCCAGUGGUUUUCCCAGCUAAAACCCUCUGAUGCUUAAGUCAGUAUGCAGGGUUUUUGGGAAAAUUGUGUGAUGUAGGUUUGUGCGAAUUAAUAAAAAUUUAAUCAAAGAAAAGUGUCUUAGAUGCUUCUCUGAAGUUUAAAAUCUAGUGCCAAUUUGACAUAAUUUCCCCUUCUUUUCUUGUGUCCCCCUCUCAAUCUGAUUUCCCAGCUUUUAUAGGCGAUCACUCCAUGUUUCUAGAACAUCUCCCACGUCCGUCAUACUCGGGCGAUCAAGGGCCCUAACGGGUUUCAAUAAUCGAACGUGGGCAAACGUGGAGUGUCGUGUUCUCCCCAGCAAUUUGGGGUGUGCCGAAACUGUCGCGUUGUUGCGGAAUCGUGUCCUCUUUCUGAAUGACAAGCUUCUGGACGACACGAGUCUCUAGUCGGUACGCGUUUCUGGCCGGUACUCAUUUUUGGUCGGUACUUAUUUCUGAUCGUUAUUCGUUUCUGAUCAGUUGUUACGUGCUCUAUAAAGAAGACAUCAUCAGGAAUCUACUCAUACCAUUCAGCCGAGGAGAUUCACCCCCCGAUAGGAAAUGGAGACAUACCUGACUAGUGCUUUUUUAUUACUCAACAAUAACUGUACCAAUCAUUUGUUACAAGUGUUGUUAAAUGCUUGUAAAUAUUGUGUUCAUAUGUCCAUCUGGUGGGUGAGAAGUAGAGAGACGUGAGAGAAAAUAUGAAUAGUGAGAACUACUUUAAAGGUAGUCUUUAAAUUCAUAGUUUACUUGUAAUUAUUAUUGACAUUGCUGUGGAUUUGGCAUUGAAGCAGGCUUGGGAUUCUCUUUCAGUGGAAAGUGAUUCGCUGCCAUAUUAUUAUUAUGCUUUUGUAAUGUGCUUGUAAAGAAUAUAUUUAUAUAAAUAACUGAUACUUAUAUCUUGUCUUUUUUAUGGACGGUGAACUCCUGCAUCAUCAUAAUGUUUAUGACAAUUUGCAGCCCCUUCAACGUUCAAUGUUCUUCACUCUCAUUGUGACUUUCGAGAACAAGGCGCAUCAACUUCUGAGUGGAAGAGGUUAACUGUAAGAUCAAAUAUUGAAAUUCUGUUUCAGCCAGAAAACUCUUAUCAAAAUCUACAAAUUCAAGCUCUCUUCAAUUGUCUCUCUGGCACUGAGUGCUUACAGAUACCCAUGCUGAAUGUUAAUCAUUAGUUAGGUGUUUCUGUCGUUUUAUAUUUAGAAGUUUAUGUCUGGGCUAUGUCCCCGGCUAUAAGAUAUAUCAUAUAUUUCAUAGAUGUCUUUCUAUUUACAGUGUAUCAUAAUGAUUAUAUAUUCUGGAUUUGACAGUAGAGUAGUUUGUUUAGUGAUUUUGGACAAACGGAAACUGAUGAUCUUUUUCCAUGUUCUUCCAUAUCCAAAAAUGGGGUGCUUUUCUAACGAUUGUGCUUGAAUUUAAUAGAUUGUUACUCUUUUAUUUUGGGGGGGGGGGAAUUUUGUUGUGGCUUCUGAAAUAUUUUGUAAUCUUUUGUAAUAUUUGUCCUAUUGAAUGUUCAAUAGAUAUAGUUUAGGGUAGAUAUGGAAAGUUAUUUGCGGGCCAAUACUAAGCUGACACAUGAAAAGGUAUUAUAAUAAAAUAUGAGCCCACAUGUGCAAAUCAUGGAUGAGGACAGCCCUAGUGAAUUUAGCUCACUUAGAAGGACAAAUCUAAAAUAAAAUAAGAGAUAUUUUGGUCUCUAGCAUGUUGUCGGUUGAGUCAGGACGAGGGCUUAAAUUUUGAAAAAUGGCAAGGCUCUUCCCUUUGAAACUAAGGCCACCCCUAGGAGGUUUACUCUUCGUUUUGAGUUUCCUGGAAGGUAAACUUUCGUGUGGGUUAGGAGCCGUGGUACUCUCAUUGUCAAAGUCGUCGUUAGAAUCACUCUUGGCUGUUGUUUUCCCCUCCUCCCUCAUAAACUCCUGGAUUCACCCUCAUCACUAUCAUUACUAGAGUUGGUAAAAUGGAUAAUUGUGUCGCGUACGUGUCGUGUCAGAUUUAGGUUAACCUUAACAUGACCCAUUUAAUAAUCGUAUUAAAAUAUUGAGAUUCAAACUAGACACAGAAAAUAAAUAGGUUAUUUAAUAACACGUUUAAUAUCUAUAUAUUUAAUAAAAUUUAUAUCAAACAUCUGCAUACUAUUAUACAUACACUCCUCUAAAAUAUUACACAUUUAUACUAUUGAAAUUUUACUAUUAAAAUUUUAAAUCUAUAUAAAAUAUUAUAAAUGAAACAUUGUAUAUACGUCCAUCCUUUAGAAAAAAUAAAUAAAAAAAGAGAAUUAUGUCUAAUAUUUGAAUUUUAAUAACAAGAAUCUAAAAAUUAAUUUAAAAUAAAAAGUAUAAUUGUAUCAUUCAUUAGGUAAAUCAGUUAAGAACUUUAACCCUAAUCCAUCAUUAAAAAAAAUCACCUUAAAUUUAAUAACUUAUACCCAUUUAUUUGUGUUGUAUUCAUAUUAAAUAAUCAGCUCAUAUCAAAUUUUGCUAACUCUAAUCAUCACUUAAUGUGGGGAAACAAUAUUGCCGAGGGGCAAACUUAAAACGAGAAUAUUCACCAUUAUCCCACUCGUCUCAUCAUUAUCCUCCAAAUAAAAAACAUCCACCUUCCUCUUCAUAACUGUCACAAACCUAUUGAAUUACCCUCUCAUCACAAACCCCAACACAAAUAGAAAAAUAGAAGCAGCGAAAUACAGAACCAACAAAACAAAAACUAAAGAAGGCCAACAGCAAAAAUGGAGAAAGAGAAGG